Molecule: ribosomal RNA, 253 nt
Filed under: uncultured bacterium
Lineage: Bacteria
Description: partial 16S ribosomal RNA
Rfam family: Bacterial small subunit ribosomal RNA
Source: RNAcentral
UACGUAGGGUGCGAGCGUUGUCCGGAAUUAUUGGGCGUAAAGAGCUCGUAGGCGGCCAGUUGCGUCCGCUGUGAAAUCCCGGGGCUUAACCCCGGGCGUGCAGUGGAUACGGGCUGGCUGGAGGCAGGCAGGGGAGAACGGAAUUCCUGGUGUAGCGGUGAAAUGCGCAGAUAUCAGGAGGAACACCGGUGGCGAAGGCGGUUCUCUGGGCCUGUACUGACGCUGAGGAGCGAAAGCGUGGGGAGCGAACAGG